Coregonus clupeaformis (lake whitefish) is the source of this 430-nucleotide non-coding RNA. NCBI's taxonomy places the organism in Eukaryota, Metazoa, Chordata, Actinopteri, Salmoniformes, Salmonidae. The record is from the annotation of a RefSeq genome assembly.
CUCACAGUCUACUAAUUUGCUUCCAGAAUCUUAGAACUUCCCCACAAUGAAACUUCUAGAAUGUGUGUUCCUCCUGGCUCUCAUCUCAGCUGUUCAGGGGCAGUCACUCACCUCCUCUGAGCCAGUGGUGAAGAGACCUGGAGAGUCAGUAACACUGUCCUGUGCUGUGUCUGGAUUCUCAAUGGAUAGCUACUGGAUGCACUGGAUCCGUCAGAAACCAGGGAAAGGACUAGAGUGGAUUGGAUACAUUGACGGUGGAACCACUGCUUACUAUGCCCAGUCUCUCCAGGGUCAGUUCACCAUCACCAAAGACAACUCCAAAAACCAGCUGUACUUAGAGGUGAAAAGCCUGAAGACUGAAGACUCUGCUGUUUAUUAUUGUGCCAGAGACACAGUAACACAGGAUGCUGCAGCACCGUACAAAAACUGA